This is a long non-coding RNA of Drosophila elegans, 1276 nucleotides long. RefSeq lists it as uncharacterized. The transcript is spliced from 2 exons. The record is from RefSeq and is a predicted model, not a curated record. Lineage: Eukaryota; Metazoa; Arthropoda; Insecta; Diptera; Drosophilidae.
UGGAGGGGCCCAGGAAGUGGGAUUGAGUGGGAAUGGGAAUGGGCAUUGGAAUGGAAAUGGGAAUGGAAAUGGGAGUUUGUGAGUUUGUGAGUGAGAGCUCCCCAGUGCAUUGUGCAAUUCGCAUGCUCAAUAAAGUCAAAGACGCAUAGCUCUCGGCGUAAGCGGGCGCUGGCAGAUGGCAUAAAUUUUGAAAUAAAAUAAUAUAAAAUAUAAAUUCAGCUGCAGUCAGUCAACGAAUGCAGGCGACAGAUAGACGCAGUGUGAAUUUAACUGACAUCCCCCUCUUAUCGGCCAGCUGGGAGCGGGAUCACUUCCUGCUCUCGCUUUCGCUUGCGCGAGUGUGCCAGUGUGUGAUAUAUCAUAAGCGUGCGUCUGACAAGCGUAAGUACCGCCGCUGUCACUGUCACAGGAUUCACAGGACUAACAGGACCAAAAGGAGCGGCAGGAGGGCAAGUGGAAGCGCCAGAAAGAGCGCCAACUCCUCGGCGUCGACGCGUGUUAUUACACCAUGCGGCAUACUUUUAGCGCCACUCAAAGAACAUUUCACUGACAGUCAGUGUUGGGGUGUAUCUAGGUACUUGUACCUAGGUAUGUACCUAGGUAAUUUUUUUCGGUAUCUUUUACCUUACCUAGGUAAAAAAAUAUUUGGCUACCUUUUACCUUACCUAGGUACGAAUUUUCGUUUACCUUAAGUUUUAGCUAUGUAAGGUAUUUAGGUACUUCCAUACGUGUAUGUAAAUAUUGUGCAUAUUAGAAAUAGCCCUGCUUCACAGCAAUGCAAUCGAAAACUUAGAAAUAUGAUAGUUCCACCACUUACUCACAGAGGUCUUUAUGGUAAGAAUGCAAAAAUAUUUUCCGUUGGAAUUUGGUAUAAUGCUAAAUUAGCAAUGCCGUUGCUACCUAAACAGUGCACUUUUGUCGAUGACAUUGGUUCCUAGAAAACGUCACAACAAAUCUUAAAAUGAGAAAAGAAGACGCAGAAAAAAAGGAACUACCAUUAAUUUUAAAUGGUACUUUCUUUUUACCGGACGGGAAGUGCAAACUGUGUGUGAACCAAACUAUCAAAUUUGAUGAAAAGUCAACCGGCAACUUGCAUAAACAUCUGAAGAGGGUUCACCCGAACAGUUAUUCUUCGUAUGAAGCUUUGAAAGCGAAAAAUUCAAAAAUAGAAGUGAAAAUUUCCGGUGAUCUCAAAAAAAGAAACCAAUGUGACUUAUGUUUAUAUCUUUGUAUCUCAGAAAAAGAAACUGAUAAUAAAAAUUUCAAAUUUAAAAAA